AACAAAACCGGACAUAAUAUACUCGGAUGAGGUUAGGUUUUAUUAGUUUGAGUAGGCUAAAACUACACAUGUUCCUAGAAAAAUAUGUCUCAUAUAUUAUGGUAAAAUAAUUAUAAAUAGAAAUUAUAUAAUUUCUUCAAUAAUAUUUGUUAAAUAUUGUACCGAUUUUCCCGUUUUUUUUAUGUUUUCCCAUGUUUUUUCCCGGGUUUUCAUAUUUGCUGUAAAAACUCUUGGGAAAAUCGAAAAAUUACCUUCCUAAAUUACCACCCUAAGAGAAUUUCCUUUUAGAAAAAAGUCUACAUCGUAUACAUAUCGAAGUAAGCUUUCUGGUAGAAAAAGUGCAU
Molecule: non-coding RNA, 344 nt
Organism: Cinara cedri
Lineage: Eukaryota; Metazoa; Arthropoda; Insecta; Hemiptera; Aphididae
Source: the annotation of a GenBank genome assembly